Scaptodrosophila lebanonensis is the source of this 178-nucleotide long non-coding RNA. RefSeq lists it as uncharacterized. NCBI's taxonomy places the organism in Eukaryota, Metazoa, Arthropoda, Insecta, Diptera, Drosophilidae. The record is from RefSeq and is a predicted model, not a curated record. The transcript is spliced from 2 exons.
UGGACUUAACAAUCAGAAGUGGAAAAUGCAAUUGGUAAUAUAUUUUGUUAUCCUGUUGGGGCUUUCCUCAUAUGCGUUGGCACAAUCUGAUCACAAUGUAGUAAAGAAGGAUGACCCAAAGAAGGGUUAAAAUUGAUAAAGUAUCAAUAAAGAGAAUGCAUUAAAAAUUGAAGCAUAA